Molecule: long non-coding RNA, 223 nt
Organism: Sapajus apella (tufted capuchin)
Lineage: Eukaryota; Metazoa; Chordata; Mammalia; Primates; Cebidae
Exons: 3
Source: RefSeq, a predicted model, not a curated record
CAAACUCCUGGCCUCAAUGAUCUGCCUACCUCAGCCUCCCAAAGUGCUGGGAUUACAGGCGUGAACCACCACGCCUGGCCCACAUAUUCUUAAGGGUUGGGGAUUCUGUGAGAAGUUUUAAAAGCUUUUCAUAUUUGAUUAUCUUUAAGUUUAAAAAAUAAUUACAGAAUGUUUUGAAAAAUACAGAGAUUUCCACUGGGUGUAGUGGCUCAUGCCUGUAAUU